This 403-nucleotide ribosomal RNA is filed under the name uncultured bacterium. RNAcentral describes it as "partial 16S ribosomal RNA". It matches the Rfam family "Bacterial small subunit ribosomal RNA", at positions 30 to 526 of the family's 1533-position model. The record is from RNAcentral.
AUUGAACGCUUGCGGCAGGCCUAACACAUGCACGUCGAGCGAGCUGCGGACGGGUGAUUAAUGUAUGGGGACUUCCCGAUGGAGGGGGAUAACUACUGGAAACGGUCGCUAAUACCGCAUACUUUCAGAUAACCCAUAUGGGAUUAUCUAGUAGGUGAGGUACUGGCUCACCUAGGCGACGAUCCCUCGCUGGUCUGAGAGGAUGAUCAGCCACACUGGGACUGAGACACGGCCCAGACUACUACGGAGGCAGCAGUGGGGAAGAUUGCACAAUGGGCGCAAGCCUGAUGCAGCCAUGCCGCGUGUAUGAAGAAGGCCCUAGGGUUGUAAAGUACUUUCAGUCGGGAGGCGUUACCGACAGAAGAAGCACCGGCUAACUCCGUGCCAGCAGCCGCGGUAAUAC